GCGGGUAUAGCUUAGUAGUAGAGCACAUGCUUAGCAUGCAUGAGGUCCUGGGUUCAAUCUGGUACCUCUG
Molecule: transfer RNA, 70 nt
Filed under: Camelus bactrianus (Bactrian camel)
Lineage: Eukaryota; Metazoa; Chordata; Mammalia; Artiodactyla; Camelidae
Also listed under: 2 other names
Rfam family: tRNA
About the family: Transfer RNA (tRNA) molecules are approximately 80 nucleotides in length. Their secondary structure includes four short double-helical elements and three loops (D, anti-codon, and T loops). Further hydrogen bonds mediate the characteristic L-shaped molecular structure. tRNAs have two regions of fundamental functional importance: the anti-codon, which is responsible for specific mRNA codon recognition, and the 3' end, to which the tRNAs corresponding amino acid is attached (by aminoacyl-tRNA synthetases). tRNAs cope with the degeneracy of the genetic code in two manners: having more than one tRNA (with a specific anti-codon) for a particular amino acid; and 'wobble' base-pairing, i.e. permitting non-standard base-pairing at the 3rd anti-codon position.
Source: Rfam by way of RNAcentral